GCAGUGGUUGUUCAGUGACAGAAGUCUGACCUUCCAUGCAGGAGACCUGGGUUUGAUUCCCAGCCAGUGCA
Molecule: transfer RNA, 71 nt
Filed under: Loxodonta africana (African savanna elephant)
Lineage: Eukaryota; Metazoa; Chordata; Mammalia; Proboscidea; Elephantidae
Rfam family: tRNA
About the family: Transfer RNA (tRNA) molecules are approximately 80 nucleotides in length. Their secondary structure includes four short double-helical elements and three loops (D, anti-codon, and T loops).
Source: Rfam by way of RNAcentral